This 257-nucleotide ribosomal RNA is filed under the name uncultured bacterium. RNAcentral's name for it is "partial 16S ribosomal RNA". It matches the Rfam family "Bacterial small subunit ribosomal RNA", at positions 1245 to 1500 of the family's 1533-position model. The record is from RNAcentral.
AGUCGCAAACUCGCGAGAGUAAGCUAAUCUCUUAAAGCCGUUCUCAGUUCGGACUGUAGGCUGCAACUCGCCUACACGAAGUCGGAAUCGCUAGUAAUCGCGGAUCAGCAUGCCGCGGUGAAUACGUUCCCGGGCCUUGUACACACCGCCCGUCACACCAUGGGAGUUUGUAACGCCCAAAGUCGGUGGCCUAACCUUUGUGGAGGGAGCCGCCUAAGGCGGGACAGAUGACUGGGGUGAAGUCGUAACAAGGUAAC